Molecule: long non-coding RNA, 680 nt
Organism: Astyanax mexicanus (Mexican tetra)
Lineage: Eukaryota; Metazoa; Chordata; Actinopteri; Characiformes; Acestrorhamphidae
Exons: 3
Source: RefSeq, a predicted model, not a curated record
CAUGAAGAGUAUUAAAAGAGAGUUCAUCCUGAUUUUGCUGGAGUAACUGUCUCGACUGUUUGUGAAAGGCUUUCUCUUACGACUCUGGAGCUUUGUUGUGAGGAUGUGAUUAAACUCAGCAUCAUGAGUAAGCCAACCUAAAGGAAAGGAAAGGACUUGGAGGGCCCCCUGAAGACCGCUCCAACCCAGUCUCAAACCCGCAACCUUAGACACUUCAAGAACUCCAAGGCCAGAGGACUUUACUGGGAGCCGCCUAGGCCGACAGGUGUUCUGGAAAACUAAAGGAGAAGAUCUCGAGGGACUGAAAGACAACCGCUCCAACUCAGUCUAGAACCCGCGACCUUCGAUACUCUUAAGACUCCAAGGGCAGACUUAGAAGAUACUAAAGGUUUAAAGAGGUGAACAUGCAUCCAGUGCCCACCAGCUCCACAUGAUAAAAACAUUUGUUAAAUAUUGUCAUUUAUUUCUGAUUAAUGCCGCCUUUAACAGCAGCUGGUACCUUUGCAGUACCUCAAAAAUACAUAAAAAGUGUUUUGCUUGUUUCCUCAGAAUCAAAUGGAGUGUUUCAUUUUCAAGCCAGAUGUCUGACAUAUUUUCAUACAGCAGUCACCCAAAACCAAACCUCACUUUACAUAAUGCACUGAUGGAAACCUGGCAGUAUGGACAUCUCAGCAAUUUAC